UACGUAGGUGGCAAGCGUUGUCCGGAUUUAUUGGGUUUAAAGGGUGCGUAGGCGGUUCCAUAAGUCAGUGGUGAAAUACGGCAGCUCAACUGUCGAGGUGCCAUUGAUACUGUGGAACUUGAGUACUGAUGAGGUAGGCGGAAUUGACGGUGUAGCGGUGAAAUGCUUAGAUAUCGUCAAGAACACCGAUAGCGAAGGCAGCUUACCAAGCAGUAACUGACGCUGAGGCACGAAAGUGCGGGGAUCAAACAGG
Molecule: ribosomal RNA, 253 nt
Filed under: uncultured bacterium
Lineage: Bacteria
Description: partial 16S ribosomal RNA
Rfam family: Bacterial small subunit ribosomal RNA
Source: RNAcentral